GACGAACGCUGGCGGCGUGCUUAACACAUGCAAGUCGAACGGAAAGGCCCUGCUUUUGUGGGGUGCUCGAGUGGCGAACGGGUGAGUAACACGUGAGUAACCUGCCCUUGACUUUGGGAUAACUUCAGGAAACUGGGGCUAAUACCGGAUAGGAGCUCCUGCUGCAUGGUGGGGGUUGGAAAGUUUCGGCGGUUGGGGAUGGACUCGCGGCUUAUCAGCUUGUUGGUGGGGUAGUGGCUUACCAAGGCUUUGACGGGUAGCCGGCCUGAGAGGGUGACCGGCCACAUUGGGACUGAGAUACGGCCCAGACUCCUACGGGAGGCAGCAGUGGGGAAUAUUGCACAAUGGGCGGAAGCCUGAUGCAGCAACGCCGCGUGCGGGAUGACGGCCUUCGGGUUGUAAACCGCUUUCGCCUGUGACGAAGCGUGAGUGACGGUAAUGGGUAAAGAAGAGCCGGCUAACUACGUG
Molecule: ribosomal RNA, 468 nt
Filed under: uncultured bacterium
Lineage: Bacteria
Description: partial 16S ribosomal RNA
Rfam family: Bacterial small subunit ribosomal RNA
Source: RNAcentral